CUGUUUAACUAAAAAAGUAUAUGUCUUGAAAACAUAAAAUAGUUGUUUAAUUCAACUAAUAGU
RNAcentral lists this transfer RNA (63 nucleotides) under Pedetontinus luanchuanensis. RNAcentral describes it as "tRNA-Ser". It matches the Rfam family "tRNA". Rfam says of the family: Transfer RNA (tRNA) molecules are approximately 80 nucleotides in length. Their secondary structure includes four short double-helical elements and three loops (D, anti-codon, and T loops). Further hydrogen bonds mediate the characteristic L-shaped molecular structure. tRNAs have two regions of fundamental functional importance: the anti-codon, which is responsible for specific mRNA codon recognition, and the 3' end, to which the tRNAs corresponding amino acid is attached (by aminoacyl-tRNA synthetases). tRNAs cope with the degeneracy of the genetic code in two manners: having more than one tRNA (with a specific anti-codon) for a particular amino acid; and 'wobble' base-pairing, i.e. permitting non-standard base-pairing at the 3rd anti-codon position. The record is from RNAcentral. Lineage: Eukaryota; Metazoa; Arthropoda; Insecta; Archaeognatha; Machilidae.